UGUCGCCCAAGAGGUCGCAAGUUCAAUCCCACCACACCCCAAAAGCUCACCCAGCCGGCGUGGAAAGUGGGUAGUGAAUUUGGUUCACGAAAGGUAAAUCGGAGCAUACUGCUAGUCCCGGUACGGCCUUAAUUCAGACUAGAAGAGAUA
This is a non-coding RNA of Caenorhabditis elegans, 150 nucleotides long. The record is from Ensembl. Lineage: Eukaryota; Metazoa; Nematoda; Chromadorea; Rhabditida; Rhabditidae.